CGAGACUAGUGAAAUACCUAUCCAAUGGAUCACAAAAUCAGAGUAGGUGUGUUCGAAUAGCUAUUUUACUAAAAGUGCUUGACGACAGUCAUUAAGUUGGAUCUUUGAAAAAAAAUUGUCUUCCGUUUUUACGAUUGCGAAAAUGAACUGGCGUAAUAGGAAGAUAAUUUCGACGAAGUAGAAUCCUGUCUGUAUUGUAUAUUUACAGGUAAGGAAACAUGUGAGAAUAUGUGUCAUGUGAUGUUUUAAAAUUUAGUGUCCUUAACCUCCAACAAAACGUCCAAUAAAAUUUAAGUAUAAUGUAUACAAGCUGAAGCCCCGCCUAUCUUAAUUACCAUGCUUGAGCAAACACUGAUACAAACAAAGCAAGCAAGCCAAACAAAGAUUUGUCUUGCUAGCAUUAAUGUAAAAGCUGUAA
This 418-nucleotide long non-coding RNA is filed under the name Mytilus galloprovincialis (Mediterranean mussel). The record is from RNAcentral. Lineage: Eukaryota; Metazoa; Mollusca; Bivalvia; Mytilida; Mytilidae.